This 1823-nucleotide long non-coding RNA is filed under the name Salmo salar (Atlantic salmon). Its description in RNAcentral is "lncRNA (ENSSSAG00000109277.1)". Lineage: Eukaryota; Metazoa; Chordata; Actinopteri; Salmoniformes; Salmonidae. The record is from RNAcentral.
CCCAAGUAGAUUCAGAAACAACAAUAGACUUCUAUUACUAUAUACUGGCAAUAAUAACCACACAGCUAACAUAUUACUUACUAUGUUUGUGUCCCAAAUAGAACCCUAUUCUCUACAUAGUGCACCCUAUGGGCCCUGGUCAAAAGAAGUGCUCUAUAUAGGGAAUAGGGUGUCAUUUGAGACACAUUCUAUAUAUAUAUAUUUCCAUAUACGGGGCAAUUUUUAUGCUGCUAUAAUGACUUGGCUGGUGAAAGCCUGCAUGGCUAACUGAUGACUUACUUCUACAAUAUUUAUAGGUAUAGUUUUACUUCUCAUUUCCCAUUUUUUGGCAAUUUCAAGCAUCGUUUACCCACCGACCAACUGCACUAACCAUUACAGCAUUUAUAUAUUUCUUUCCAGAGAUGGCAUGUUGGAAGAGGUUAUAGGAGUGUGUGUGUGUGUGUGUGCCUGCUCCCAUGUGUGCUGUUUGUGUGUGUGUGCCUGUUUGUGUGUGUCUGCUCCCAUGUUUGCGUGUGCGCGUGUGCCUGCUCCCAUGUGUGCCUGUUUGCGGUGUGUCUGCUCCCAUGUGUGCCUCUGCCUGUUCCUGCUUGUGCUCCCAUGUGUGCAAGUGAGUGAGUGACAGAAUUUGUCGUAUUUACAUUUUUUUUUUUACAGACACACUUAUCCAGAGUGACAUAAAGGAGCUAUUACGGUUAAGUGCCAUGCUCAUGGGCACAUCGCCAGAUUUUUCACCUAGUCGGCUCGGGGAUUCGAACCAGCGGACCUUUCCGUUACUGGCCUAACGCUCUUAACCCCUAGGCUAUCUGCCUCCCCCCAGUGUUCCGUACUCCUCCAUGGUUACAGCAGGCAGGUUACUAGGGAGAGGGUCUGGUCAGCCCAACACUCAGGCCAGCACUCAGGCCAGCACUCAGGCCAGCACUCAGGCCAGCACUCAGGCCAGCACUCAGGCCAGCCCUCAGGCCAGCCCUCAGGCCAGCCCUCAGGCCAGCCCUCAGGCCAGCCCUCAGGUCAACACUAACCUACCAUUAACCCAACACUUGUUUUGGCUCUAUACUCCAGCACUUAGAAAUGGUGUUGUGUGUUCCUUUCAAACAACUCAACUGUAGUUUCAUCUGUCCACAGAAUAUUUGUCAGUAGCGCUGUGGAACAUCCAAGUGCUCUUUUGUAAACUUCAGACGUGCAGCAAUGUUUUUUUGGGGGACAGCAGUGGCUUCUUCUGUGGUGUCCUCCCAUGAACACCAUUCUUGUUUAGUGUUUUACGUAUCGUAGACUCGUCAACAGAGAUGUUAACAUGUUCCAGAGAUUUCUGUAAGUCUUUAGCUGACACUCUAGGAUUCUUCUUUACCUCAUUGAGCAUUCUGCGCUGGGCUCUUGCAAUCAUCUUUGCAGGACUGCCACUCCCAGGGAGAGUAGCAACAGUGCUGAACUUCCUCCAUUUAUAAGGCUUUUAGAGAUACUUUUGUAUCCCUUUCCAGCUUUAUGCAAGUCAACAAUUCUUAAUCUUGGGUCUUCUGAGAUCUCUUUUGUUCGAGGCAUGGUUCACAUCAGUCAAUGCUUCUUGUGAAUAGCAAACUCAAGUUUUGUGAGUGUUUUUUAAAGGGCAGGGCAGCUCUAACCAACAUCUCCAAUCUCAUCUCGUCUCAUUGGUUGGACUCCAGGUUAGCUGACUCCUGACUCCAAUUAGCUUUCGGAGAAGUCAUUAGCCUAGGGAUUCACAUACUUUUUCCAACCUACACUGUGAAUGUUUAAAUGAUGUAUUGAUAAAAGAAUGUAUAUGUUUAAAGAUAAUAAUUAAAUAAUUCUACCCUGAAACUUAACUAUUA